CAGUAGCCGCGGGAAUACGAAGGGGGCUAGCGUUGCUCGGAAUGACUGGGCGUAAAGGGCGCGUAGGCGGCGAUCAAAGUCAGGCGUGAAAUUCCUGGGCUCAACCUGGGGGCUGCGUUUGAUACUUGAUUGCUAGAGUGGGGAAGAGGGUCGUGGAAUUCCCAGUGUAGAGGUGAAAUUCGUAGAUAUUGGGAAGAACACCGGUGGCGAAGGCGGCGACCUGGUCCUCGACUGACGCUGAGGCGCGAAAGCAUGGGGAGCAAACAGGAUUAGAUACCCCUGUAGUCCCUGUCUCUUAUAA
This 301-nucleotide ribosomal RNA is filed under the name uncultured bacterium. RNAcentral's name for it is "partial 16S ribosomal RNA". It matches the Rfam family "Bacterial small subunit ribosomal RNA", at positions 509 to 809 of the family's 1533-position model. The record is from RNAcentral.